GACGAACGCUGGCGGCGUGCUUAACACAUGCAAGUCGAACGAAGAGCGAUGGAAGCUUGCUUCUAUCAAUCUUAGUGGCGAACGGGUGAGUAACGCGUAAUCAACCUGCCCUUCAGAGGGGGACAACAGUUGGAAACGACUGCUAAUACCGCAUACGAUCUAAUCUCGGCAUCGAGGAUAGAUGAAAGGUGGCCUCUACAUGUAAGCUAUCACUGAAGGAGGGGAUUGCGUCUGAUUAGCUAGUUGGAGGGGUAACGGCCCACCAAGGCGAUGAUCAGUAGCCGGUCUGAGAGGAUGAACGGCCACAUUGGGACUGAGACACGGCCCAGACUCCUACGGGAGGCAGCAGUGGGGAAUCUUCCGCAAUGGACGAAAGUCUGACGGAGCAACGCCGCGUGAGUGAUGACGGCCUUCGGGUUGUAAAGCUCUGUUAAUCGGGACGAAAGGCCUUCUUGCGAACAGUUAGAAGGAUUGACGGUACCGGAAUAGAAAGCCACGGC
This 500-nucleotide ribosomal RNA is filed under the name Veillonella parvula. RNAcentral's name for it is "bacterial SSU rRNA". It matches the Rfam family "Bacterial small subunit ribosomal RNA", at positions 28 to 497 of the family's 1533-position model. Lineage: Bacteria; Bacillati; Bacillota; Negativicutes; Veillonellales; Veillonellaceae. The record is from RNAcentral.